RNAcentral lists this ribosomal RNA (156 nucleotides) under uncultured bacterium. Its description in RNAcentral is "partial 16S ribosomal RNA". It matches the Rfam family "Bacterial small subunit ribosomal RNA", at positions 1337 to 1500 of the family's 1533-position model. The record is from RNAcentral.
AGUAAUCGCGCAUCAGCCACGGCGCGGUGAAUACGUUCCCGGGCCUUGUACACACCGCCCGUCAAGCCAUGGAAGCCGGGAGUGCCUGAAGUGCGUGACCGCAAGGAGCGUCCUAAGGCAAUACCGGUGACUGGGGCUAAGUCGUAACAAGGUAUC